RNAcentral lists this ribosomal RNA (465 nucleotides) under Vreelandella stevensii. RNAcentral's name for it is "partial 16S ribosomal RNA". It matches the Rfam family "Bacterial small subunit ribosomal RNA", at positions 338 to 795 of the family's 1533-position model. Lineage: Bacteria; Pseudomonadati; Pseudomonadota; Gammaproteobacteria; Oceanospirillales; Halomonadaceae. The record is from RNAcentral.
CCUACGGGAGGCAGCAGUGGGGAAUAUUGGACAAAGGGGGGAACCCUGAUCCAGCCAUGCCGCGUGUGUGAAGAAGGCCCUCGGGUUGUAAAGCACUUUCAGUGAGGAAGAACGCCUGGUGGUUAAUACCCAUCAGGAAAGACAUCACUCACAGAAGAAGCACCGACUAACUCCGUGCCAGCAGCCGCGGUAAUACGGAGGGUGCGAGCGUUAAUCGGAAUUACUGGGCGUAAAGCGCGCGUAGGUGGCUUGAUAAGCCGGUUGUGAAAGCCCCGGGCUCAACCUGGGAACGGCAUCCGGAACUGUCAAGCUAGAGUGCAGGAGAGGAAGGUAGAAUUCCCGGUGUAGCGGUGAAAUGCGUAGAGAUCGGGAGGAAUACCAGUGGCGAAGGCGGCCUUCUGGACUGACACUGACACUGAGGUGCGAAAGCGUGGGUAGCAAACAGGAUUAGAUACCCCAGUAGUC